Long non-coding RNA from Amblyraja radiata (thorny skate), 276 nucleotides. RefSeq lists it as uncharacterized. Lineage: Eukaryota; Metazoa; Chordata; Chondrichthyes; Rajiformes; Rajidae. The transcript is spliced from 3 exons. The record is from RefSeq and is a predicted model, not a curated record.
GGUUAAAUCGGGAAAAUAUGACCAAAGAGAAGACUUUGCAGUGAUUCUUCAGCCCUUCCUGAAAGAUGUAGAACCUCCAUUAAAUGAGACUGGCGGGAUUGAUUUUUCAACAUUUAGCCCAGACUGUUUCCACCUUAGCAUCAAAGGGCACAAGGCAAUGGCAACGGCACUUUGGAAUAAUAUGUUCCAACCCGAGGGCCACAAAGUGGGAAUUAACUCAGUUUUCAAAUCAAUGCAGCUCAUUUGUCCAUCAAAGGUACAACAGAAGAAUACAAU